RNAcentral lists this small RNA (60 nucleotides) under Salmonella enterica subsp. enterica serovar Oranienburg. RNAcentral's name for it is "partial RtT sRNA". It matches the Rfam family "RtT RNA", at positions 1 to 60 of the family's 130-position model. Rfam says of the family: This family represents a bacterial cis-regulatory element known as RtT RNA. The exact function of RtT is unknown although it is thought that it may be involved in changing the cellular response in relation to amino acid starvation. Lineage: Bacteria; Pseudomonadati; Pseudomonadota; Gammaproteobacteria; Enterobacterales; Enterobacteriaceae. The record is from RNAcentral. RNAcentral also lists the same sequence under 6 other names.
UAUCUCUCCGUACGGGGAAGGAUGAGAAGCUUCGACUAAGGUUCGAUUCGAGCGCAGCGA